RNAcentral lists this transfer RNA (72 nucleotides) under Camelus ferus (Wild Bactrian camel). It matches the Rfam family "tRNA". Rfam says of the family: Transfer RNA (tRNA) molecules are approximately 80 nucleotides in length. The record is from Rfam by way of RNAcentral. Lineage: Eukaryota; Metazoa; Chordata; Mammalia; Artiodactyla; Camelidae.
GAGAGUAUAGCUCAGGGGUAGAGUGCCUGCUUAGCAUACGUGAUGUCCUGGGUUCAAUCCCCAGCGCCUUCA